AGAGUUUGAUCAUGGCUCAGGAUGAACGCUGGCGGCGUGCCUAACACAUGCAAGUCGAGCGAUUCUCUUCGGAGAAGAGCGGCGGACGGGUGAGUAACGCGUGGGUAACCUGCCCUGUGCACACGGAUAACAUACCGAAAGGUAUGCUAAUACGAGAUAAUAUGCUUUUAUCGCAUGGUAGAAGUAUCAAAGCUUUUGCGGUACAGGAUGGACCCGCGUCUGAUUAGCUAGUUGGUAAGGUAACGGCUUACCAAGGCGACGAUCAGUAGCCGACCUGAGAGGGUGAUCGGCCACAUUGGAACUGAGACACGGUCCAAACUCCUACGGGAGGCAGCAGUGGGGAAUAUUGCACAAUGGGCGAAAGCCUGAUGCAGCAACGCCGCGUGAGCGAUGAAGGCCUUCGGGUCGUAAAGCUCUGUCCUCAAGGAAGAUAAUGACGGUACUUGAGGAGGAAGCCCCGGCUAACUACGUG
Molecule: ribosomal RNA, 472 nt
Filed under: uncultured bacterium
Lineage: Bacteria
Description: bacterial SSU rRNA
Rfam family: Bacterial small subunit ribosomal RNA
Source: RNAcentral